AUGCAAGUCGAGCGGUAAGGCCCUUCGGGGUACACGAGCGGCGAACGGGUGAGUAACACGUGGGUGAUCUGCCUCGUACUUCGGGAUAAGCCUGGGAAACUGGGUCUAAUACCGGAUAGGACCUCUUGUCGCAUGGCUUGGGGUGGAAAGAUUUAUCGGUGCGAGAUGGGCCCGCGGCCUAUCAGCUUGUUGGUGGGGUAAUGGCCUACCAAGGCGACGACGGGUAGCCGGCCUGAGAGGGCGACCGGCCACACUGGGACUGAGACACGGCCCAGACUCCUACGGGAGGCAGCAGUGGGGAAUAUUGCACAAUGGGCGGAAGCCUGAUGCAGCGACGCCGCGUGAGGGAUGACGGCCUUCGGGUUGUAAACCUCUUUCGACAGGGACGAAGCGCAAGUGACGGUACCUGUAGAAGAAGCACCGGCCAACUACGUGCCAGCAGCCGCGGUAAUACGUAGGGUGCGAGCGUUGUCCGGAAUUACUGGGCGUAAAGAGCUUGUAGGCGGUUUGUCGCGUCGUCUGUGAAAACUCACAGCUCAACUGUGAGCUUGCAGGCGAUACGGGCAGACUUGAGUACUGCAGGGGAGACUGGAAUUCCUGGUGUAGCGGUGAAAUGCGCAGAUAUCAGGAGGAACACCGGUGGCGAAGGCGGGUCUCUGGGCAGUAACUGACGCUGAGAAGCGAAAGCGUGGGUAGCGAACAGGAUUAGAUACCCUGGUAGUCCACGCCGUAAACGGUGGGCGCUAGGUGUGGGUUUCCUUCCACGGGAUCCGUGCCGUAGCUAACGCAUUAAGCGCCCCGCCUGGGGAGUACGGCCGCAAGGCUAAAACUCAAAGGAAUUGACGGGGGCCCGCACAAGCGGCGGAGCAUGUGGAUUAAUUCGAUGCAACGCGAAGAACCUUACCUGGGUUUGACAUACACCGGAAACCUGCAGAGAUGUAGGCCCCCUUGUGGUCGGUGUACAGGUGGUGCAUGGCUGUCGUCAGCUCGUGUCGUGAGAUGUUGGGUUAAGUCCCGCAACGAGCGCAACCCUUGUCCUGUGUUGCCAGCACGUAAUGGUGGGGACUCGCAGGAGACUGCCGGGGUCAACUCGGAGGAAGGUGGGGACGACGUCAAGUCAUCAUGCCCCUUAUGUCCAGGGCUUCACACAUGCUACAAUGGGCGGUACAGAGGGCUGCGAGACCGUGAGGUGGAGCGAAUCCCUUAAAGCCGUUCUCAGUUCGGAUCGGGGUCUGCAACUCGACCCCGUGAAGUUGGAGUCGCUAGUAAUCGCAGAUCAGCAACGCUGCGGUGAAUACGUUCCCGGGCCUUGUACACACCGCCCGUCACGUCAUGAAAGUCGGUAACACCCGAAGCCGGUGGCCCAACCCU
RNAcentral lists this ribosomal RNA (1371 nucleotides) under Nocardia sp. WMMB228. Its description in RNAcentral is "bacterial SSU rRNA". It matches the Rfam family "Bacterial small subunit ribosomal RNA". The record is from RNAcentral. RNAcentral also lists the same sequence under 1 other name. Lineage: Bacteria; Bacillati; Actinomycetota; Actinomycetes; Mycobacteriales; Nocardiaceae.